UUCUAUUCCAGGAAACUCAACCAAGCGGAACAAAACUAUGAUGUGGGAGACAGAGAAUUGCUAGCGAUCGUGUAUGCUCUCAAACACUGGAGGCACUGGCUGGAAGGGGCCCGAUGUCCGUUCCAGGUGUGGACAGAUCAUCGCAACCUGGCCUAUCUGAAGGAGGCCCGGCGGUUGAAUCCCAGACAGGCUAGAUGGGCUCUUUUCUUAACCCGCUUCGAUUUCACAGUCACAUACCGACCAGGCACAAAAAAUGGGAAGGCUGAUGCGCUGUCGCGCAUGCACGACGGAGAGGAGAGGCACGUUGUGGAGACGCCAGUGAUACCCCCCUCGCGCAUCGUCGCACCCAUCCAGUGGGAGGUGGAUACGGAAAUACAACAGGAACAGGUGAGACACCCCCCACCUCCUAACUGCCCUCCGGGGCGUCUCUAUGUUCCAGAGACCUACAGAGAUCAGCUUUUGGUCUGGGCACACACGUCUCCUGCCACAGGCCACCCAGGCAUUACGCGCACCUUGGGCACGCUACAGGCAAAAUAUUGGUGGCCCCAGAUGCCCCAGGACGUCCGCCAGUACGUCUCUUCCUGUUCGGUGUGCGCCCAAAGCACUACACCAAGACACCUACCCUACGGCCGGCGGUAAGGGGUCCUCUUGAUGCAACAGGGGGAGGCGCAGACCCCCCUGCUCCUUUGGAUGUCGACGGUGAGGCUGCUUAUGCUGUGCGUGACCUGCUG
This is a long non-coding RNA of Esox lucius (northern pike), 731 nucleotides long. NCBI's taxonomy places the organism in Eukaryota, Metazoa, Chordata, Actinopteri, Esociformes, Esocidae. The record is from Ensembl.